This 94-nucleotide ribosomal RNA is filed under the name Thesium juncifolium. RNAcentral's name for it is "partial 28S ribosomal RNA". Lineage: Eukaryota; Viridiplantae; Streptophyta; Magnoliopsida; Santalales; Thesiaceae. The record is from RNAcentral.
UCUCACUGACCCAAUGGCUUCAUUCGCCUUGCGCGGAGGAGCUCACUAUGCGACCCCAGGUCAGGCGGGGCUACCCGCUGAGUUUAAGCAUAUC